CGGUAAUUCCAGCUCCAAUAUCGUAUAUUAAAGUUGCUGCGGUUAAUAAGCUCGUAGUUGGAUUUCUGCUGGGGACAACUGGUCUGCCUACUGGGUAAGUAUUUCUGAGUCAAGCAUGUUCUUGGACGACACUUCUGCACUUGACUGUGUUGUGUGAUCUCCAAGGUUGUUACUUUGAGGAAAUCAGAGUGCUUACAGCAGGCAAAAUGUUUUGAAUACAUUAGCAUAUAUUAAUAAGAUGAGACUGCGGUUUUAUGUUGUUGGUUUUAAAAAGUGAAGUAAUGGUUGGCAGGGAGAGUUAGUGGUGCAUUUGUAUUCAACUGUCAGAGGUGGAAUUCUUGGAGUUGUUAAAGACAAACAACUGCGAAAGCAUUUGCCAAUGAUGUUGUUUGAUCAAGAACGAAAGUUAGGGGAUCGAAGACGAUUAGAUACCGUCCGAGUCUUAACUAUAAACUAUGCCAACCAGAGAUUCGAGGUUGCUAUGUGUACGACUCCUUCAGCACCGUACGAGACAUCAAAGUCUUGGGGUUCCGCGGGGAGUAUGGUCGCACGGCUGAAACUUAAAGGAAUUGACGGAAGGGCACCACCAGGAGUGGAGCCUACGGCUUACUUUGACUCGACACGGGGAAACUUACCAGGUCCAGACAUAGUAAGGAUUGACAGAUUGAUAGCUCUUUCUUGAUUCUAUGGGUGGUGGUGCAUGGCCGUUCUUGGUUGGUGGAGUGAUUUGUCUGGUUAAUUCCGUUAACGAACGAGACCUUAACUUGCUAAAUAGUUACAUGCAACUCGGGUUAUGUGGGCAACAUCUUAGAGGGACUUUGUGUCUAACACAAGGAAGUUUGAGGCAAUAACAGGUCUGUGAUGCCCUUAGAUGUGCUGGGCUGCACGCGCGCUACACUGAUGUGCUCAACAAGCAUUUACUUUGCUUGUAAAGGCAGGGCAAUCUUUAAACAUGCGCCGUGAUGGGGAUUGACUAUUGCAAUUAUUAGUCUUGAGCGAUGAAUUCCUAGUAAACUCGAGCCAUCAGCUCGUGUUGAUUACGUCCCUGCCCCUUUGUACACACCGCCC
RNAcentral lists this ribosomal RNA (1068 nucleotides) under uncultured dinoflagellate. RNAcentral's name for it is "SSU rRNA". It matches the Rfam family "Eukaryotic small subunit ribosomal RNA", at positions 577 to 1674 of the family's 1831-position model. The record is from RNAcentral. Lineage: Eukaryota; Dinophyceae.